GGUUAAGCGACUAAGCGUACACGGUGGAUGCCCUGGCAGUCAGAGGCGAUGAAGGACGUGCUAAUCUGCGAUAAGCGCCGGUAAGGUGAUAUGAACCGUUAUAACCGGCGAUUUCCGAAUGGGGAAACCCAGUGUGAUUCGUCACACUAUCAUUAACUGAAUCCAUAGGUUAAUGAGGCGAACCGGGGGAACUGAAACAUCUAAGUACCCCGAGGAAAAGAAAUCAACCGAGAUUCCCCCAGUAGCGGCGAGCGAACGGGGAGGAGCCCAGAGCCUGAAUCAGCAUGUGUGUUAGUGGAAGCGUCUGGAAAGGCGCGCGAUACAGGGUGACAGCCCCGUACACAAAAGCGCAUGUGCUGUGAGCUCGAUGAGUAGGGCGGGACACGUGGUAUCCUGUCUGAAUAUGGGGGGACCAUCCUCCAAGGCUAAAUACUCCUGACUGACCGAUAGUGAACCAGUACCGUGAGGGAAAGGCGAAAAGAACCCCGGCGAGGGGAGUGAAAAAGAACCUGAAACCGUGUACGUACAAGCAGUGGGAGCACAGGUUUACCUGUGUGACUGCGUACCUUUUGUAUAAUGGGUCAGCGACUUAUAUUCUGUAGCAAGGUUAACCGUAUAGGGGAGCCGGAGGGAAACCGAGUCUUAAUUGGGCGUUAAGUUGCAGGGUAUAGACCCGAAACCCGGUGAUCUAGCCAUGGGCAGGUUGAAGGUUGGGUAACACUAACUGGAGGACCGAACCGACUAAUGUUGAAAAAUUAGCGGAUGACCUGUGGCUGGGGGUGAAAGGCCAAUCAAACCGGGAGAUAGCUGGUUCUCCCCGAAAGCUAUUUAGGUAGCGCCUCGUGAAUUCAUCUCCGGGGGUAGAGCACUGUUUCGGCUAGGGGGCCAUCCCGGCUUACCAACCCGAUGCAAACUGCGAAUACCGGAGAAUGUUAUCACGGGAGACACACGGCGGGUGCUAACGUCCGUCGUGAAGAGGGAAACAACCCAGACCGCCAGCUAAGGUCCCAAAGUCAUGGUUAAGUGGGAAACGAUGUGGGAAGGCCCAGACAGCCAGGAUGUUGGCUUAGAAGCAGCCAUCAUUUAAAGAAAGCGUAAUAGCUCACUGGUCGAGUCGGCCUGCGCGGAAGAUGUAACGGGGCUAAACCAUGCACCGAAGCUGCGGCAGCGAACGUAUCACCCAAGACAACUUUACGGAGUUGACGAUUGACGGAGCGAAGCGACGUCAAAGCGUUCAUUAAAGUCGAGUUGGCUUAGGGAUACGUUCGUUGGGUAGGGGAGCGUUCUGUAAGCCUGUGAAGGUGUGUCGUGAGGCAUGCUGGAGGUAUCAGAAGUGCGAAUGCUGACAUAAGUAACGAUAAAGCGGGUGAAAAGCCCGCUCGCCGGAAGACCAAGGGUUCCUGUCCAACGUUAAUCGGGGCAGGGUGAGUCGACCCCUAAGGCGAGGCCGAAAGGCGUAGUCGAUGGGAAACGGGUUAAUAUUCCCGUACUUGGUGUUACUGCGAAGGGGGACGGAGAAGGCUAUGUUGGCCGGGCGACGGUUGUCCCGGUUUAAGCGUGUAGGUGUGUGUUCCAGGUAAAUCCGGUUCACUUUAACACUGAGGCGUGAUGACGAGGCACUACGGUGCUGAAGCAACAAAUGCCCUGCUUCCAGGAAAAGCCUCUAAGCAUCAGGUAACAUCAAAUCGUACCCCAAACCGACACAGGUGGUCAGGUAGAGAAUACCAAGGCGCUUGAGAGAACUCGGGUGAAGGAACUAGGCAAAAUGGUGCCGUAACUUCGGGAGAAGGCACGCUGACACGUAGGUGAAGUGAUUUACUCACGGAGCUGAAGUCAGUCGAAGAUACCAGCUGGCUGCAACUGUUUAUUAAAAACACAGCACUGUGCAAACACGAAAGUGGACGUAUACGGUGUGACGCCUGCCCGGUGCCGGAAGGUUAAUUGAUGGGGUCAGCGCAAGCGAAGCUCCUGAUCGAAGCCCCGGUAAACGGCGGCCGUAACUAUAACGGUCCUAAGGUAGCGAAAUUCCUUGUCGGGUAAGUUCCGACCUGCACGAAUGGCGUAAUGAUGGCCAGGCUGUCUCCACCCGAGACUCAGUGAAAUUGAACUCGCUGUGAAGAUGCAGUGUACCCGCGGCAAGACGGAAAGACCCCGUGAACCUUUACUAUAGCUUGACACUGAACAUUGAGCCUUGAUGUGUAGGAUAGGUGGGAGGCUUUGAAGUGUGGACGCCAGUCUGCAUGGAGCCGACCUUGAAAUACCACCCUUUAAUGUUUGAUGUUCUAACGUGGACCCGUAAUCCGGGUUGCGGACAGUGUCUGGUGGGUAGUUUGACUGGGGCGGUCUCCUCCUAAAGAGUAACGGAGGAGCACGAAGGUUGGCUAAUCCUGGUCGGACAUCAGGAGGUUAGUGCAAUGGCAUAAGCCAGCUUGACUGCGAGCGUGACGGCGCGAGCAGGUGCGAAAGCAGGUCAUAGUGAUCCGGUGGUUCUGAAUGGAAGGGCCAUCGCUCAACGGAUAAAAGGUACUCCGGGGAUAACAGGCUGAUACCGCCCAAGAGUUCAUAUCGACGGCGGUGUUUGGCACCUCGAUGUCGGCUCAUCACAUCCUGGGGCUGAAGUAGGUCCCAAGGGUAUGGCUGUUCGCCAUUUAAAGUGGUACGCGAGCUGGGUUUAGAACGUCGUGAGACAGUUCGGUCCCUAUCUGCCGUGGGCGCUGGAGAACUGAGGGGGCUGCUCCUAGUACGAGAGGACCGGAGUGGACGCAUCACUGGUGUUCGGGUUGUCAUGCCAAUGGCACUGCCCGGUAGCUAAAUGCGGAAGAGAUAAGUGCUGAAAGCAUCUAAGCACGAAACUUGCCCCGAGAUGAGUUCUCCCUGAGACUUAGAGUCUCCUGAAGGAACGUUGAAGACGACGACGUUGAUAGGCCGGGUGUGUAAGCGCAGCGAUGCGUUGAGCUAACCGGUACUAAUGAACCGUGAGGCUUAACCUU
RNAcentral lists this ribosomal RNA (2990 nucleotides) under Salmonella enterica subsp. enterica serovar Typhimurium. Its description in RNAcentral is "23S ribosomal RNA". It matches the Rfam family "Bacterial large subunit ribosomal RNA". The record is from RNAcentral. Lineage: Bacteria; Pseudomonadati; Pseudomonadota; Gammaproteobacteria; Enterobacterales; Enterobacteriaceae.